This 305-nucleotide ribosomal RNA is filed under the name uncultured bacterium. RNAcentral describes it as "bacterial SSU rRNA". It matches the Rfam family "Bacterial small subunit ribosomal RNA", at positions 335 to 657 of the family's 1533-position model. The record is from RNAcentral.
UGUCCUACGGGGGGCAGCAGUGGGGGACAUUGCACAAUGGGGGGAACCCUGAUGCAGCGACGCCGCGUGGGCGAUGGAGUACUUCGGUAUGUAAAGCCCUAUCAGCAGGGAAGAAAAUGACGGUACCUGACUAAGAAGCCCCGGCUAAAUACGUGCCAGCAGCCGCGGUAAUACGUAUGGGGCAAGCGUUAUCCGGAUUUACUGGGUGUAAAGGGAGCGUAGGCGGCUUGGCAAGCCUGAUGUGAAAUACCGGGGCCCAACCCCGGGGCUGCAUUGGGAACUGCCAGGCUGGAGUGCCGGAGAGG